AUACAACAUUCUGUCCACAAAAAUGAAUCGACUCAUCCUCGACUCAACUCUGAGACUGGGUCGGCUCAUUGUGAUAAAAAAAAACUCUAUAGCCACAGCCUGCACAACUGAGUCAGCUCAUCUACAAACUAAGCCAACUUAACAGAGUCUCGAGUCGACUCAAACAAAAAUUGAGUCAACUUAUCAAGCAUGCCAACCAC
This 200-nucleotide long non-coding RNA is filed under the name Elaeis guineensis (African oil palm). RNAcentral's name for it is "long non-coding RNA (EGUI_LNC048468)". Lineage: Eukaryota; Viridiplantae; Streptophyta; Magnoliopsida; Arecales; Arecaceae. The record is from RNAcentral.